UAUGUGAUCGUCUCUCGCAUAUCAAUAAGCGGAGGAAAAGAAACUAACAAGGAUUCCCCUAGUAACGGCGAGUGAAGCGGGAAGAGCUCAAAUUUGAAAUCUUAAAGGGUUUCCCUUUACGAAUUGUAGUUUAAAGAAGUGUUUUCUGUUGAGGUUUUGGUAAAAGUUCUUUGGAAUAGGACAUCAUAGAGGGUGAGAAUCCCGUAUUUGACCUUUACUUUCAACUUUGUGAUACACUUUCAAAGAGUCGGGAUUGUUUGGGAAUGCAGUCCAAAAUGGGUGGUAAAUUUCAUCUAAAGCUAAAUAUUGGCGAGAGACCGAUAGCGAACAAGUACCGUGAGGGAAAGAUGAAAAGAACUUUGAAAAGAGAGUUAAACAGUACGUGAAAUUGUCAAAAGGGAAGCGUUUGACACCAGUGUUGUUUUUCUGAAAAUCAAUUAAAGAACUGUUUAUGCUAAGUUGUUUAGACUUUAUCAGCUAACUGUUUAGCUUUUGAGCUUUUCUUUAAUGCACUUUUCAGUUAACAAGUCAACAUCAAUUUCUUUUGCUGUAAAAAAGCUUGAGGAAGGUGGCUUGAGAUUCGUCUUAAGUGUUUAUAGCCUCUUGCCUAUGCAGUCGGAGAGAUUGAGGUCUGCAGCGUAGAUCCUUCGGGGCUAAAUGCAUUUGUGCUAAGUUAUAGCAUUUUUAUAGACAACUUGUUGACUAUGAUUUGUCUUGUAGCUUACUCGCUUAUGUUAUUUUACCUACGCUUAGGAUGUUGAAGACUCUACAGAGAU
RNAcentral lists this ribosomal RNA (776 nucleotides) under uncultured Neocallimastigales. RNAcentral's name for it is "partial large subunit ribosomal RNA". It matches the Rfam family "Eukaryotic large subunit ribosomal RNA", at positions 24 to 632 of the family's 3401-position model. The record is from RNAcentral. Lineage: Eukaryota; Fungi; Neocallimastigomycota; Neocallimastigomycetes; Neocallimastigales.